UAUACAUGCAAGUCGAGCGAAUGGAUUGGAGAGCUUGCUCUNANGAAGUUAGCGGCGGACGGNGUGAGUAACACGUGGGUAACCUGCCCAUAAGACUGGGAUAACUCCGGGAAACCGGGGCUAAUACCGGAUAAUAUUUUGAACUGCAUGGUUCGAAAUUGAAAGGCGGCUUCGGCUGUCACUUAUGGAUGGACCCGCGUCGCAUUAGCUAGUUGGUGAGGUAACGGCUCACCAAGGCAACGAUGCGUAGCCGACCUGAGAGGGUGAUCGGCCACACUGGGACUGAGACACGGCCCAGACUCCUACGGGAGGCAGCAGUAGGGAAUCUUCCGCAAUGGACGAAAGUCUGACGGAGCAACGCCGCGUGAGUGAUGAAGGCUUUCGGGUCGUAAAACUCUGUUGUUAGGGAAGAACAAGUGCUANUUGAAUAAGCUGGCACCUUG
Molecule: ribosomal RNA, 443 nt
Filed under: unidentified microorganism
Description: bacterial SSU rRNA
Rfam family: Bacterial small subunit ribosomal RNA
Source: RNAcentral